CAGCAGUACCUCCUCUUCAGCGGCCCACACAACACUUGAAGCUGCCACGCAGACGGUUUUAAAAGACGCAUUCCAACAGCAGGAGAUCAGACUGUAACGUUCUUCUUUCAGAGUCCAACAUGUGUUCAGUAUCUGAUGACCGGUAUUCCCUUGAACUGAUACCACUCACGAAAGUGAAGAGGGGAGAUCAUCUUGCUGUUGAAAGUAGUGAUGGCAGAUAUUACCACCAUGGUAUAUUCAUCGGAGAUGGAGACGUCAUUGAUUAUGGGGCAGAAAACAAGAAGCUCAUCUCAGGACAAGGAAUGAUUCGUAAAAUGCCACUGAUUAAAUUUGUUGGAGGUGAGAUGGUGUACAGAGUAAAAUACAACAAGGCUCUUGAAAACAAUCCAGAGGAUGUGGUGAAAACAGCUGUCCAGCUGUAUGAAGACCAAACAUGUUGGAGUGUGUACGAUCUGCUGAACAAGAAUUGUGAACAUUUUGCCAGUUUCUGUAAGACAGGGAGAGCUUUCUCUCUUCAAGU
Thalassophryne amazonica is the source of this 520-nucleotide long non-coding RNA. RefSeq lists it as uncharacterized. The transcript is spliced from 3 exons. The record is from RefSeq and is a predicted model, not a curated record. NCBI's taxonomy places the organism in Eukaryota, Metazoa, Chordata, Actinopteri, Batrachoidiformes, Batrachoididae.